Molecule: ribosomal RNA, 235 nt
Filed under: uncultured bacterium
Lineage: Bacteria
Description: partial 16S ribosomal RNA
Rfam family: Bacterial small subunit ribosomal RNA
Source: RNAcentral
GACGAAGGGGGCUAGGCGUUGUUCGGAAUUACUGGGCGUAAAGCGCGUGUAGGCGGUUGUUCAAGUUCAGGUGUGGAAAGCCUUGGAGCUCAACUCAAGAAAUGCACUUGAUACUGGAUGACUAGAGGACCGGAGAGGAUAGUGGAAUUCCUGGUGUAGCGGUGAAAUGCGUAGAUAUCAGGAGGAAUACCGGUGGCGAAAGCGACUCUCUGGACGGCAACUGGACGCUGAAGGC